GAUAACGGCGUCGAGCGGCGGACGGGUGAGUAAUGCCUAGGAAAUUGCCCUGAUGUGGGGGAUAACCAUUGGAAACGAUGGCUAAUACCGCAUGAUGCCUACGGGCCAAAGAGGGGGACCUUCGGGCCUCUCGCGUCAGGAUAUGCCUAGGUGGGAUUAGCUAGUUGGUGAGGUAAGGGCUCACCAAGGCGACGAUCCCUAGCUGGUCUGAGAGGAUGAUCAGCCACACUGGAACUGAGACACGGUCCAGACUCCUACGGGAGGCAGCAGUGGGGAAUAUUGCACAAUGGGCGCAAGCCUGAUGCAGCCAUGCCGCGUGUGUGAAGAAGGCCUUCGGGUUGUAAAGCACUUUCAGUCGUGAGGAAGGUAGUGUAGUUAAUAGCUGCAUUAUUUGACGUUAGCGACAGAAGAAGCACCGGCUAACUCCGUGCCAGCAGCCGCGGUAAUACGGAGGGUGCGAGCGUUAAUCGGAAUUACUGGGCGUAAAGCGCAUGCAGGUGGUUUGUUAAGUCAGAUGUGAAAGCCCGGGGCUCAACCUCGGAAUAGCAUUUGAAACUGGCAGACUAGAGUACUGUAGAGGGGGGUAGAAUUUCAGGUGUAGCGGUGAAAUGCGUAGAGAUCUGAAGGAAUACCGGUGGCGAAGGCGGCCCCCUGGACAGAUACUGACACUCAGAUGCGAAAGCGUGGGGAGCAAACAGGAUUAGAUACCCUGGUAGUCCACGCCGUAAACGAUGUCUACUUGGAGGUUGUGGCCUUGAGCCGUGGCUUUCGGAGCUAACGCGUUAAGUAGACCGCCUGGGGAGUACGGUCGCAAGAUUAAAACUCAAAUGAAUUGACGGGGGCCCGCACAAGCGGUGGAGCAUGUGGUUUAAUUCGAUGCAACGCGAAGAACCUUACCUACUCUUGACAUCCAGAGAACUUUCCAGAGAUGGAUUGGUGCCUUCGGGAACUCUGAGACAGGUGCUGCAUGGCUGUCGUCAGCUCGUGUUGUGAAAUGUUGGGUUAAGUCCCGCAACGAGCGCAACCCUUAUCCUUGUUUGCCAGCGAGUAAUGUCGGGAACUCCAGGGAGACUGCCGGUGAUAAACCGGAGGAAGGUGGGGACGACGUCAAGUCAUCAUGGCCCUUACGAGUAGGGCUACACACGUGCUACAAUGGCGCAUACAGAGGGCGGCCAACUUGCGAAAGUGAGCGAAUCCCAAAAAGUGCGUCGUAGUCCGGAUUGGAGUCUGCAACUCGACUCCAUGAAGUCGGAAUCGCUAGUAAUCGUGGAUCAGAAUGCCACGGUGAAUACGUUCCCGGGCCUUGUACACACCGCCCGUCACACCAUGGGAGUGGGCUGCAAAAGAAGUAGGUAGUUUAA
RNAcentral lists this ribosomal RNA (1361 nucleotides) under Vibrio alginolyticus. RNAcentral describes it as "bacterial SSU rRNA". It matches the Rfam family "Bacterial small subunit ribosomal RNA", at positions 78 to 1438 of the family's 1533-position model. The record is from RNAcentral. Lineage: Bacteria; Pseudomonadati; Pseudomonadota; Gammaproteobacteria; Vibrionales; Vibrionaceae.